AACCAACCCCACUUCUUAAAGGCAUCAACUGAACUGACGGUUAAGGAGUUAGAUAGAUCUAUUCUCUGUAUUUCUCUCUCAUCGCUUUCACUCUACAAAUUAAAAGUGCCUCCUCCUCUCUCUCAAAGAGAAAAGAGUUAGAUAAAUUUAUUAUCUGUUUUCUCUCUCACAGCUUUCUCUAUAAAUUAAAAGUAUCACCUCCACUCUCAAAAGUUCAAGAGAUCUAGUCAUUUUGGUUCAGUACAAUUAUCAUUGGUCUUUUAAAGGCAAAGGAAACAGGAGAUUUUGAGAGAGGAAGGAAGGGGAAAACUUUAGAGAUCAAGUAAUGUAUUUCAUCUAACUCAAUAAUAAAGGAGAAUAUGUGGAAGAUAGAAUUCAGAAAGUUGAAGAGAUAAAGUCAAAAGAAGUGUAGUCUUUUGGGGUUCCUUAAGACUUGCAGUGAAAAUUUAUAAUGUCUCCUAUUACGGUCUUUCUUAAUCUUGAAACUAUAUAAGUUUAUAUUUGCUGGAAAUUAAAAUGCGGAAAUGUAAAGUGCGGAAAGUAAAUCUACGCUAUUACAUCGAUUGUGCAGGAAAUGUAAACUAGCCUAUUUACAUGAUUUUGACAACCUAUACAUUUAUCUAGGAAUUUAAAUUGCAAUAAGAUAAAUAGAGAAAUGCAUGUCUUUGGUUUUUUUUGAUGAUUGAUUUUAAUUUAAAAUUAAUGCAUAAUUAAUUAAAUUAAAAUGAGAAAAAGAUGGAAAUAAAUUUAAACCUAGAAAUUAAGCUUAAAAAUAUGUUCAAAAUGCUUGUUAAUUAAUUUUAAAACAAAACUAAUUUUUUUGG
Long non-coding RNA from Vicia villosa (hairy vetch), 824 nucleotides. RefSeq lists it as uncharacterized. NCBI's taxonomy places the organism in Eukaryota, Viridiplantae, Streptophyta, Magnoliopsida, Fabales, Fabaceae. The transcript is spliced from 5 exons. The record is from RefSeq and is a predicted model, not a curated record.